GACAUAUUAGGUUCCUACCAUGGACAUCUGGACACAGACGCUACCAAAUCUGAUGAAACAAUCAAAGUGAUCAUCGCAUACUCGCCGUGACGGAAUCCAUAGUCCUAUCAGACAACCGUUCCUUGUAAACUGAACCAAAAAGAAAAUGUGACUUUCCAACCAUCACGCAUUAAAGGGCCUCUGUUAAGCUUUUUAUUUCGAAACCUGCUGAUGAUACUGCAUACAACGUGGACCCUCUCCCGCCUCCCUUCAGACACCCCUCCAAAUCAAAGCAUGGUCUUAACGGGCCUCCCAUCUCGUCUCUGGGUCCAGGCCUGUCUGUAACUUGUGUCCAGUCCUUCCAUGGCCUUAACUGGGUGGGGAUUUUUUGGGGGUGGAGGAAGCAGGGCAGGGUGGGUGGAAGAGGAAAAGGAACCACAUGAGGAUGAAGGAGAAGGAGAGGCAGAAAACUGCAAACAGACUUGUACAUUAUUCAGUGGGCCUCUCAUCUCACACAAACAGGACUCCAGCUUGGUGGUGAUCUCUCAUAAAAGACUGCCUCACAGUGCGCUCCUCUUUCAUAGCCCCCUGCCUCAGUUCUGCGUACCGUCCACACCAGAUUAAUUACAUCAGAAAGUACAUAAAAUGCUUUUCAGAUCGGCUCUGCGCACAUCUGAGCAGGAAGAGAGAGGAACUGGCACGUCAGCUUGUCCGGUGCGUUCGCUUGGUCUGAAAGACGGGCGUGGUGGGGUGGAGAAGACGGGGAACGGUCUGCACAUGCUCAGUCCAGACUGGGAGGGAGGAGGGAGCUGGAAGCAAUGUAGUUUACGCCCUUAAAGCGUGUGUGUGUGUGCGUGCGUGCGUGCGUGUGUGUGGUUGGGAUGCGUCAGUGUCAGGCUUCACCUGAAUGUGUCUGUGUGUGUGUGCUUGGAUUGUGACAGGUUACUGAAGCCGUGUGUGUGCGUGCGUGCGUGCGUGCGUGUGUGUGUGAAAGGUCGUUGUAGAGGGCUGACUGGGACAGUGCUGUGUGUGUCUCUGUAUUGAAAUGUUUACAGUCUAGAUGUUCCCUGUGUGUGCAACUGGCAGUCCUCCCUUUACUUUGCUAAUGUUUACAGCUGCAGAAAAGCAACAUGACAUAUUGUAAAUUUCACUUGUAACCUCUCUCAGUUUUUCUCUAUCAGAUCUGCCAGAUUUUUCAUGUAAAAAUUAGUCAUUUCUUAAAGAGAGAGCCUGGAGUGAGCGCGACUGCGAGACUGUGUCCGUUGCAUGGAGGGAUUACUGAGUGGAACCAGCCAGGUACAGAACCAGAGGACCCAAUUUGUCCAGCAGCCAGUAACUGAUACCUCCACAUGGAGAGCAAAGCAUAGACAGUAAUUGUGAAAGAAGCUUGCUGGUCACAGAGUGCUGUGUCCAAGCAUAUCACUGUAAGUGUUGUAAAACCUGUCCAAGCAACAGAAAACUGCAGCCUUUUGGUGUUAUGUAAUGUUCUUGCUUAGGAAAGGUCAUAACCAUCAAAAGAACCAACAAACAAAUGCUUGAAAUGUCUGUCAACACUUAAUCUGUUUAACACAGAUGCAGUAAAUGAGUUUUACGUUUUUCUUUUAAGACUUUUUUUUUUUUACUUUUCAUUUCAAAUAAAUAUUUUAGUACACACCCACUCCCGACCCCACUAAGGGACAAGGGUGCAUAGAAAAUGGAUGGAUGGAGUAUACACCCAUAAAAAUUAACAAGCAAUGCAUUUGUUAACAUGUCCUUUAAGAGUUUCAUAAAAUUUCUGGGAAGUCAUAAAAUUUGCUUACACCUGAGAUCAUGUACCUGACUAGAAAUUUAGAAUUAAAACUGAUAAAAAAUAAAUAAAAAAAAAACAGCAAAAGGAGGACAAAGCCCAUAACAGUUAAAUAAAAAAUGUACAACACUGUGGCAGGACAGUUGGAUGCAAUGAAAUAUUAUUAUUAUUAAAAUAUCACCGUAUUUCUUGUUAAACUGAAGACUGUUUCUAUGUUUGGGACUGAUCGUGAUUUAAUUAUGACUUAUCUUUUAAAAGGUUUUUCUGAAAUUCUAGCAUUACCAAAUUCUAAUAAGAAAUAGUUUGACAAACAGGGAUUGAGACAGGAUGUUUCACCAUAAAACUAGAGGGACAAGGAAGCAUUGAUAUCAAGAAUGUCUUCAAGGUAUUUGGAAAAGACAUCUCAUGAAAAGGUCAAAUCUGACUGUUUGUGGCCACUGUGUUCAAUUGCUGUCAGCUUGUGACAUUAUCUGCUUCAAACUUGACCCUCUGUUUGUUUCUAUAUUUGAGAACUUUUAUUUUAAAAUAGGAAGGAAAGUACAAGUUUUACCCGAGUGACCUGAAAGCAGAUAUGUAUUUAUAUAUUCCUGAUUGGUACAAAAAGUCCCAGGGCAAUGGCAUCUUUUGAUAUCUGAAAAGGUUGAGUACAAGAUAACUAAAUCUGAAAAAAAAUAUGAAACUGAAAAUGACCUGUUCCCUACUCUAGCAAGGGAGAGUAAAAAUAAACGAUAAAGGCACUUAAAGAAACCUGGAGUGUCACUCAAAGCAAAAAUGGGCUGCAAAAAGAUUCUGCAAAAACCUUUACAAAAAUUUUUAAAUAAAUGAGGACGCGUAAGGCAACUGCAUUUGGAUUCUUCAAAAUGACUCGUGUGACUUUCUCGGUCCUCUUUUCCCUCUUCUGUUCUCUGGUUGCUCUGUUGGCUCGUAAUCCCUCCAUGACUGUUUGUGCAUGUGUGUUUGCAACUCAAAAGGGGGCCUCCUGGUCUCUGCUACAGUCAGCUCCCCCACAUUGUGUUUCUGCUGGAAACUGAUGUACCUGUCUGCGACUGGAGACGCGAGGCACUCGGACCCUCAAAAGGACUCUUGUUGUUCCACUGUGGAGCCACUGAAACGGGGCUUAUUUAUUCAUUUGUUCAUAUUUAACAACAUUUGUUUAAUAUUCCAAUCAUGUGAGGUGUUACUCACUCUUCAGAAUGCCAAGAGCUGAUGUGUGAAGACUACUACGAAUCAACGUACAAACUGCAUUUACAAAGCUACUGUAAACAAAUGGUGGAAUAAAUUGUGCUAGA
Molecule: long non-coding RNA, 3054 nt
Organism: Poecilia latipinna (sailfin molly)
Lineage: Eukaryota; Metazoa; Chordata; Actinopteri; Cyprinodontiformes; Poeciliidae
Exons: 2
Source: RefSeq, a predicted model, not a curated record